RNAcentral lists this transfer RNA (68 nucleotides) under Anthenea aspera. RNAcentral describes it as "tRNA-His". It matches the Rfam family "tRNA". From Rfam's summary of the family: Transfer RNA (tRNA) molecules are approximately 80 nucleotides in length. Their secondary structure includes four short double-helical elements and three loops (D, anti-codon, and T loops). Lineage: Eukaryota; Metazoa; Echinodermata; Asteroidea; Valvatida; Oreasteridae. The record is from RNAcentral.
AUCAAAGUAGUUUAAAAAAAUACUAAUUUGUGGUAUUAGAGACACCAGUUUAAAUCUGGUCUAUGAUC